GACGGGACCGCACAAGCGGUGAUGAUGUGGUUAAUUCGAUGCAACGCGAAAACCUUACCCACCUUUGACAUGUACGGAAUUCUUCAGAGAUGAAGGAGUGCUCGAAAGAGAACCGUAACACAGGUGCUGCAUGGCUGUCGUCAGCUCGUGUCGUGAGAUGUUGGGUUAAGUCCCGCAACGAGCGCAACCCUUGUCAUUAGUUGCUACAUUCAGUUGGGCACUCUAAUGAGACUGCCGGUGACAAACCGGAGGAAGGUGGGGAUGACGUCAAGUCCUCAUGGCCCUUAUAGGUGGGGCUACACACGUCAUACAAUGGAUGGUACAAAGGGUCGCCAACCCGCGAGGGGGAGCCAAUCCCAUAAAGCCAUUCGUAGUCCGGAUCGCAGUCUGCAACUCGACUGCGUGAAGUCGGAAUCGCUAGUAAUCGUGGAUCAGAAUGUCACGGUGAAUACGUUCCCGGGUCUU
RNAcentral lists this ribosomal RNA (465 nucleotides) under uncultured Acidovorax sp. RNAcentral describes it as "bacterial SSU rRNA". It matches the Rfam family "Bacterial small subunit ribosomal RNA", at positions 917 to 1381 of the family's 1533-position model. Lineage: Bacteria; Pseudomonadati; Pseudomonadota; Betaproteobacteria; Burkholderiales; Comamonadaceae. The record is from RNAcentral.